RNAcentral lists this ribosomal RNA (495 nucleotides) under uncultured bacterium. RNAcentral's name for it is "partial 16S ribosomal RNA". It matches the Rfam family "Bacterial small subunit ribosomal RNA", at positions 30 to 507 of the family's 1533-position model. The record is from RNAcentral.
UGAACGCUGGCGGCGUGCCUACUACAUGCACAUCGAGCGAACAGACGAGGAGCUUGCUCCUCUGACGUUAGCGGCGGACGGGUGAGUAACACGUGGAUAACCUACCUAUAAGACUGGGAUAACUUCGGGAAACCGGAGCUAAUACCGGAUAAUAUAUUGAACCGCAUGGUUCAAUAGUGAAAGACGGUUUUGCUGUCACUUAUAGAUGGAUCCGCGCCGCAUUAGCUAGUUGGUAAGGUAACGGCUUACCAAGGCGACGAUGCGUAGCCGACCUGAGAGGGUGAUCGGCCACACUGGAACUGAGACACGGUCCAGACUCCUACGGGAGGCAGCAGUAGGGAAUCUUCCGCAAUGGGCGAAAGCCUGACGGAGCAACGCCGCGUGAGUGAUGAAGGUCUUCGGAUCGUAAAACUCUGUUAUUAGGGAAGAACAAAUGUGUAAGUAACUAUGCACGUCUUGACGGUACCUAAUCAGAAAGCCACGGCUAACUACGUG